UAUACUUUAAGGUUUUUUUUUAUUUUUGUCAAGUCCCACUUAUGUUGCAAGACUCAAUAUGUUGAGUGUAAUUUCCUGUAACAGCUGGACACUAGCUUUUAAAA
Etheostoma spectabile (orangethroat darter) is the source of this 104-nucleotide long non-coding RNA. RefSeq lists it as uncharacterized. NCBI's taxonomy places the organism in Eukaryota, Metazoa, Chordata, Actinopteri, Perciformes, Percidae. The transcript is spliced from 3 exons. The record is from RefSeq and is a predicted model, not a curated record.